This is a long non-coding RNA of Neopelma chrysocephalum (saffron-crested tyrant-manakin), 181 nucleotides long. RefSeq lists it as uncharacterized. The transcript is spliced from 3 exons. Lineage: Eukaryota; Metazoa; Chordata; Aves; Passeriformes; Pipridae. The record is from RefSeq and is a predicted model, not a curated record.
CGUGGCCUCUCACAACGAGUCCUCGGUGCUCCACGCCGCCCACAGGAUUGAGGAGCUUUCCCUCCCCCGCUCCGGAGGCUCCGUUUGCUUCGCGCAGCUCCUGGGGAUGGGAGAGCACAUUUCAUUGGCUCUGGGUGAGUGUGGGUUCCAGGUGUACAAGUCGGUGCCGGUGGGACCCCCC